AGUGAACGCUGGCGGUAGGCCUAACACAUGCAAGUCGAACGGCAGCACAGUAAGAGCUUGCUCUUACGGGUGGCGAGUGGCGGACGGGUGAGGAAUACAUCGGAAUCUACUUUUUCGUGGGGGAUAACGUAGGGGAACUUACGCUAAUACCGCAUACGACCUACGGUUGAAAGCAGGGGAUCUUCGGACCUUGCGCGAUUGAAUGAGCCGAUGUCGGAUUAGCUAGUUGGCGGGGUAAAGGCCCACCAAGGCGACGAUCCGUAGCUGGUCUGAGAGGAUGAUCAGCCACACUGGAACUGAGACACGGUCCAGACUCCUACGGGAGGCAGCAGUGGGGAAUAUUGGACAAUGGGCGCAAGCCUGAUCCAGCCAUACCGCGUGGGUGAAGAAGGCCUUCGGGUUGUAAAGACCUUUUGUUGGGAAAGAAAAGCAGCAGGUUAAUACCCAGCUGUUCUGACGGUACCCAAAGAAUAAGCACCGGCUAACUUCGUG
Molecule: ribosomal RNA, 492 nt
Filed under: uncultured bacterium
Lineage: Bacteria
Description: partial 16S ribosomal RNA
Rfam family: Bacterial small subunit ribosomal RNA
Source: RNAcentral